Molecule: ribosomal RNA, 475 nt
Filed under: uncultured bacterium
Lineage: Bacteria
Description: bacterial SSU rRNA
Rfam family: Bacterial small subunit ribosomal RNA
Source: RNAcentral
CGAGGACGAACGCUGGCGGCGUGCCUAACACAUGCAAGUCGAGCGGAGACAGUGAGUAGCUUGCUAUGAGCUGUUUUAGCGGCGGACGGGUGAGUAACGCGUGAGCAACCUUUCCCAGACAGGGGAAUAACACACCGAAAGGUGUACUAAUACCGCAUAAGACCACGGGAUCACAUGGUUCUGGGGUAAAAGAUUUAUCGGUUUGGGGUGGGCUCGCGUCCGAUUAGGUAGUUGGUGAGGUAACGGCCCACCAAGGCGACGAUCAGUAGCCGGACUGAGAGGUUGAACGGCCACAUUGGGACUGAGAAACGGUCCAGACUCCUACGGGAGGCAGCAGUGGGGAAUAUUGGGCAAUGGGCGAAAGCCUGACCCAGCGACGCCGCGUGAGGGAAGAAGGUCUUCGGAUUGUAAACCUUAGUUAGCAGGGAAGAAGAAAGUGACGGUACCUGCAGAGAAAGCCACGGCUAACUACGUG